GACAGAGGGUGCAACCGUUGUUCGGAAUUACUGGGCGUAAAGCGCGUGUAGGCGGCUAAGCAAGUCGGGCGUGAAAUCCCACCGCUCAACGGUGGAAGUGCACCCGAAACUGCAUAGCUAGAGUCCUGGAGAGGAAGGUGGAAUGCUUGGUGUAGAGGUGAAAUUCGUAGAUAUCAAGCGGAACACCGGUGGCGAAGGCGGCCUUCUGGACAGUGACUGACGCUGAGACGCGAAAGCGUGGGGAGCAAACAGG
RNAcentral lists this ribosomal RNA (253 nucleotides) under uncultured bacterium. RNAcentral's name for it is "partial 16S ribosomal RNA". It matches the Rfam family "Bacterial small subunit ribosomal RNA", at positions 524 to 776 of the family's 1533-position model. The record is from RNAcentral.